GACGAACGCUGGCGGCGUGCUUAACACAUGCAAGUCGAACGGUGAAGCGACCAGCUUGCUGCUUCUGUAUUAGUGGCGAACGGGUGAGUAACACGUGAGUAACCUACCUCCUUCUUCUGGAUAACCUCAGGAAACUGUGGCUAAUACGGGAUAUUCUUUUUCUGCCCCUUGUCGGACCCUGGAAAGCUAUUUUUCCGUCCGUUGAUGGUCUCGCGGCCUAUCAGUUGGUUGGUGGUGUGAUGGCCUAUCAAGGCGGCGACGGUGAGCCGCCCUGAUAGGGUGGAAGGUCAGACUGGGAAUGAGACACAGACCAGAAUGCUACGGGAGGCAGCAGUGGGGAAUAUUGCACAAUGGGCGCAAGCCUGAUGCAGCGACGCCGCGUGAGGGAGGGAGGCCAUCGGGUUGUAAUCCUAUUUCGCAAGUGAAGCAGGCCUGCUCAUUGUGGGUGGGUUGACGGUAGCUGGAUAAGAAGCGCCGGCUAACUACGUG
This 489-nucleotide ribosomal RNA is filed under the name uncultured bacterium. Its description in RNAcentral is "partial 16S ribosomal RNA". It matches the Rfam family "Bacterial small subunit ribosomal RNA", at positions 28 to 507 of the family's 1533-position model. The record is from RNAcentral.